Molecule: ribosomal RNA, 3368 nt
Filed under: Candidatus Nomurabacteria bacterium
Lineage: Bacteria; Candidatus Nomuraibacteriota
Description: 23S ribosomal RNA
Rfam family: Bacterial large subunit ribosomal RNA
Source: RNAcentral
AUAAAAAGUUACUCAAGCGCACACAAUGGAUGCCUUGACAUAAGAUACCGAUGAAGGACGUAGUAGACUGCGAUAAGCUUCGGGGAGCUGUCAAACAAGCUUUGAACCGAAGAUUUCCGAAUGGGGAAACCCUACUGGGGUCAUGCCUAGUAACUCUUAUCUGAACACAUAGGGUAAGAAGAGGGAACCGGGGGAACUGAAACAUCUUAGUACCUCGAGGAAGAGAAAAUAACCAAUGAUUCUGGGAGUAGUGGCGAGCGAAACUGGAAUAGCCCAAACCUUUAAUACUUCGGAUAUGGGAUUAAGCUUAUGGUCCUGUUAUAGGGAAUAAGAUAAGCCCAAGCAAAAAUCGCAUUUUUUGCCUGGCGCGAUAAGAAAAAACCGUAGGUUUUGUCUUAUAUCCGAUAAGUUGGUAGACGAAUGUAUUACAGGGGUUGUGACAUAGUAAACAACUACUACGGAGAGCCUAAAUUAUUUAGGAAAUCCGUAGUGGAAGCAAGUGCUACCACGAACUUGCAUAAGGUCAGAAAUUGCGAAGCGAGCAGAAUAGUCUGGAAAGACUAGCCAAAGACGGUGAUAGCCCGGUAUGUUAAGUAUUCGCAACCUUAUAUUUAUUAUUGUCGAGUAGAACGGGACACGAGAAACCCUGUUUGAAUCUGGGACGACCACGUUCCAAGGCUAAAUAUAUCUUAUGAUCGAUAGUGAACAAGUACCGUGAGGGAAAGGCGAAAAGAACCCCGGGAGGGGAGUGAAAUAGAACCUGAAAUUAUGUGCGUACAAGGAGUCAGAGCCCUUCGGGGUGAUGGCGUGCUUUUUGUAGAACGAUCCAGCGAGUUAUUCUUAUAUGCGAGCUUAAGCCAUUUGGCGGAGGCGUAGUGAAAGCGAGCCUGAAUAGGGCGAAGGCAUAUCCUCACUGAGCAAAACAGCCUGUGAACGCAUAACACUGAUUUUGACAAAGUAAAAUUUUUGAAACGUAUAAGUCAAUACGUUAAAAAACUUUUACAAAGUCAAAACCUUGUGAUCUGUGCUCACAGACAUAUUUUGUCCAGCGAGGAUAUGCCUAGAGUAUAUAGGAGUAGACCCGAAACCAGGUGACCUAACCAUGGGCAGGUUGAAGCGCAGGUAAAACUGCGUGGAGGACCGAACCGUAGCGAGUUGCAACACGCCCGGAUGACCUGUGGUUAGCGGUGAAAUGCCAAUCGAACCUGGAGAUAGCUGGUUCUCCUCGAAAUAGCUUUAGGGCUAGCGUCGUACGGUAGCAUUCUGGGGUAGAGCUCUGUUUCGGACUGGGGGUCGCAAGAUUACCCACCCUUGACAAACUACGAAUACGGAAUGUGGAACUACGGCAGUUAGAACGUGGGGGCUAAGCUCCACGCUCAAAAGGGAAACAGCCCAGACCACCAGCUAAGGUCCCUAAAUAUACACUAAGUGGGAAACGAGGUAGGAUUUCUUGGACAACGAGGAUGUUGGCUUAGAAGCAGCCAUUCAUUUAAAGAGUGCGUAACAGCUCACUCGUCAAGAGAUCCCGCGCGGAAAAUGUAACGGGGCUAAGUGUAUUACCGAAGCUGUGGACUGUACUUUGUACAGUGGUAGAGGAGCGUUGAUAUCAGCGCUGAAGUCAGACUGCGAGGUCUGGUGGAGUGGUAUCAAGUGAGAAUGCUGGAAUGAGUAACCAUAAGGCAGGUGAGAAUCCUGCCCACCGAAAGAGCGAGGUUUCCUGGGCCACGGUAAUCGUCCCAGGGUUAGUCGGGCCUAAGCCGAGGCGCGUAGCGUAGGCGAUGGACAACAGGUUAAUAUUCCUGUACCGGUUAUAGAUUGCUUGGAGUGCGCGGUAUAUUAGUAAGAGCGGGUUCAUGGUUAUACCCGUCUAACCACCUUAAUAAGUGGGAAUGAAAGGGCCCUUACGGGCUUGAUUCUUGUGAAAGUACUGACUAGAAAAGCUUCCAAGCGUGUGUCUAUGGCCGCCCGUACCGCAAACCGACACAGGUGCUCAGGUCGAGAAGACCAAGGUGUACGAGUGAUUCUUCGUCAAGGAACUCGGCAAUACAGCGACCGUAACUUAGGGAUAAGGUCUGCCCCGUCACUAUGUUUAUAAGUGACUAGCCAAGUUUUCAAGAUUAAUAGAGUUAAAAUAUAUGAUUCUAUCGAGAUAAAUCGAGACAAAACAAAUUAAUUCUGGAAGCUUGUGCUUCGUUAACCGACUUGUAAGUAUGGUGACGGGGCCGCAGCGAAAGAACCCAAGCAACUGUUUACCAAAAACACAGGUCUCUGCUAACACGAAAGUGGAUGUAUAGGGGCUGACUCCUGCCCGGUGCUGGAAGGUUAAGGGGAGCGCUUCACGGUGCGAACUGAAGCCCCAGUGAACGGCGGCGGUAACUAUAACCGUCCUAAGGUAGCGAAAUUCCUUGUCAGGUAAGUUCUGACCCGCACGAAUGGAGUAAUGAUAUGGGUACUGUCUCAAGAAGGGACUCGGUGAAAGUGCAUUGGCGGUAAAGAUGCCGUCUGUCCGCAUCAGGACGAAAAGACCCCGUGGAGCUUUACUACAGCUUGACAUUGAGCUGGGUGACAACAUGUGUAGCAUAGGUGGGAGACUAUGAAGCCAACGCGCUAGCGAUGGUGGAGUCUUCAGUGAAAUACCACCCUUGUUGUUACUUUGUUCUUACUUGGACCGUUAUCCGGUUCGAGGACAGUGUCUGGUGGGUAGUUUAACUGGGGCGGUUGCCUCCUAAAGAGUAGCGGAGGCGUUCAAAGGUUGGCUAGCUACGGAUGGAAAUCGUAGUGAUAGUGCAUACGCAUAAGCCAGCUUGACUGUGAGGCCUACAAGCCAAGCAGGCACGAAAGUGGGAGUAAGUGACCCGUUGUCCAUACAUUAUGUAUAUGAGUGUGGAAUCGGCAACGCAAACGGAUAAAAGUUACCCCGGGGAUAACAGGCUUAUAGCGCCCAAUAGUUCACAUAGACGGCGCUGUUUGGCACCUCGAUGUCGGCUCAUCUCAUCCUGGGGCUGGAGCAGGUCCCAAGGGUCCGGCUGUUCGCCGGUUAAAGAGGUACGUGAGCUGGGUUCAGAACGUCGUGAGACAGUUCGGUUUAUAUCCGAUGUGGACAAUAGGAAAUGUGAGGGAAUCUGCCCCUAGUACGAGAGGACCGGGGUGGACGCACCGCUGGUGUACCAGUUGUCUGACCUACAGGCAUUGCUGGGUAGCUAAGUGCGGUCUAGAUAAGCGCUGAAAGCAUAUUAAGCGCGAAACUAAUCCCAAGAUUGCAUUUCCCUAUGGAGAUCCCUGAAAGACGAUCAGGUUGAUAGGCGCAAGGUGUACGUGUAGCAAUACAUUCAGCCAAAGCGUACUAAUAGAUCCAUCGACUUUUUAUG